Molecule: long non-coding RNA, 633 nt
Organism: Macadamia integrifolia
Lineage: Eukaryota; Viridiplantae; Streptophyta; Magnoliopsida; Proteales; Proteaceae
Exons: 3
Source: RefSeq, a predicted model, not a curated record
AGAAGUGUGAUGUAUAUAGUUUCGGAGUAGUGGCAUUAGAAACAAUUAUGGGAAAGCAUCCAAGGGAGCUCAUCUCAUCCUUAACAUCAUUAGUUGGCCAAAAGAUUCUACUAAGGGACAUGUUAGACCCAUGCCUCACCUUUCCAUCAGACCAAAAUGUUGCAAAGGAUGUGGUUUCUAUUGUGAGAAUAGCACUUGCAUGUUUACGCAAUCACCCACAAUCCCGCCCAAAUAUGCAUCAAGUAUCAAAAAAGCUACUUUUUCUCCAACCAUCAUUUGUGGAGAAUUUUCAUACAAUUACUGUAGGUGACCUAAAUGCUAUUGAAAUACAAUAAUUAUGAUCGACGGCUCAUUUGACCAACAGGGGACUGACGCGAUUCGUUUAAGACCACAAUCAAAAUUAAACAAUAAAUCUCAAGGGAUGGCAUGGCUAAAGUCCUCACUGUGUAGACCAUAGAGAGAUCUUUAUUUCUUUGGAGAGGGAAUAUGAAUAAUUCAAGGUUGUAAGGUGUUCAGACGCUGGAUAAAAAAAAAAAAGAAAAAAAAAGAAAGAGGAAGUCAUUUGCGACUUCCGCAUCAGAAGAAAGAGAGGAGAAGGAGAGGGAGAGACGUAUUUAUUGUAAAAGAGGUUCA